CCUACGGGAGGCAGCAGUGAGGAAUAUUGGUCAAUGGACGAGAGUCUGAACCAGCCAAGUAGCGUGAAGGAUGACUGCCCUAUGGGUUGUAAACUUCUUUUAUAAAGGAAUAAAACGAGGCACGUGUGCCUUUUUGCAUGUACUUUAUGAAUAAGGAUCGGCUAACUCCGUGCCAGCAGCCGCGGUAAUACGGAGGAUCCGAGCGUUAUCCGGAUUUAUUGGGUUUAAAGGGAGCGUAGAUGGGUUGUUAAGUCAGUUGUGAAAGUUUGCGGCUGAACCGUAAAAUUGCAAUUUAUACUGGCGGUCGUGAUGACAGUUGGAGAAGGGGGAUUUCGUGGGGUACCGGCGAAUGCCUCAGAUAUCACGAAGA
This 370-nucleotide ribosomal RNA is filed under the name uncultured bacterium. RNAcentral's name for it is "partial 16S ribosomal RNA". It matches the Rfam family "Bacterial small subunit ribosomal RNA", at positions 338 to 705 of the family's 1533-position model. The record is from RNAcentral.